AUGGCCAAAAAGAAGAAGGCGGCCCGGAACCGGGGCAGGAAUGGUGCGGGAAUGGAGUCGGAGGCGGAGGGUUCAGCUGGGCGCGCCCCCCACUUCCACGGACACGGCGCCCCCUUUGACGUCCGCCGCGGCCAAGAAAACGGAGCCCACCCUGGGGGCGCCCGCGCCGGCCAAGAAGCUAUCCCGCCCCAUGGCACAGCACAGAAGAUUGUUGAGCCCCUACGCCGUGCAGCGGCUUUCCUGGGGAGGAAUGGCAGCGCCGGCGACGAUACGUCGGACGCCUCCAGCAGCGCCGGCAACGGCGGCGUGGAGGCUCUGGUGGGCGAGCGCUCGCGGGAUCAGGUUGACAAGGAUGAGGAUCCUUACCAGAAUGAGAGGAGGUAUUAA
Molecule: ribosomal RNA, 387 nt
Filed under: Triticum aestivum (bread wheat)
Lineage: Eukaryota; Viridiplantae; Streptophyta; Magnoliopsida; Poales; Poaceae
Description: partial small subunit ribosomal RNA
Source: RNAcentral